GAUGAACGCUGGCGGCGUGCCUAACACAUGCAAGUCGAACGGAGAUUACGGACGGAAGUUUUCGGAUGGAAGCCUGUAAUUCUUAGUGGCGGACGGGUGAGUAACGCGUGGGCAACCUGCCCUAUACAGGGGGAUAGCAGCUGGAAACGGCUGGUAAGACCGCAUAAGUCGGUUAAAUCGCAUGAUUUGAUCGGGAAAUGAGCAAUCAGGUAUAGGAUGGGCCCGCGUCCGAUUAGCCAGUUGGCAGGGUAAAAGCCUACCAAAGCGACGAUCGGUAGCCGGGCUGAGAGGUCGGACGGCCACAUUGGGACUGAGACACGGCCCAAACUCCUACGGGAGGCAGCAGUGGGGGAUAUUGCACAAUGGAGGAAACUCUGAUGCAGCGACGCCGCGUGAGUGAAGAAGUAUUUCGGUAUGUAAAGCUCUAUCAGCAGGGAAGAUGAUGACGGUACCUGACUAAGAAGCCCCGGCUAACUACGUG
This 481-nucleotide ribosomal RNA is filed under the name uncultured bacterium. Its description in RNAcentral is "partial 16S ribosomal RNA". It matches the Rfam family "Bacterial small subunit ribosomal RNA", at positions 28 to 507 of the family's 1533-position model. The record is from RNAcentral.